GUGCUCACUUUGGCAGCUUCUAUACUAAAAUUGGAAUAUACAGAGAUUAGCAUGGCCCCUGCGCAAGGAUGACAUGCAAAUUCAUGAAGAAAUAACAACUCAA
Molecule: small nuclear RNA, 103 nt
Organism: Neogale vison (American mink)
Lineage: Eukaryota; Metazoa; Chordata; Mammalia; Carnivora; Mustelidae
Source: Ensembl